UACGUAGGGGGCGAGCGUUGUCCGGAAUCAUUGGGCGUAAAGCGCGUGUAGGCGGCUCGGUAAGUCUGCUGUGAAAGUCCAGGGCUCAACCCUGGAAUGCCGGUGGAUACUGUCGAGCUUGAGUCCGGAAGAGGCGAGUGGAAUUCCUGGUGUAGCGGUGAAAUGCGCAGAUAUCAGGAGGAACACCAAUGGCGAAGGCAGCUCGCUGGGACGGUACUGACGCUGAGACGCGAAAGCGUGGGGAGCGAACAGG
Molecule: ribosomal RNA, 253 nt
Filed under: uncultured bacterium
Lineage: Bacteria
Description: partial 16S ribosomal RNA
Rfam family: Bacterial small subunit ribosomal RNA
Source: RNAcentral